UCGGGAUUAGGUUAGUGGUAGACCGACAGGUUCUGACCCUGUUCGCGGUGGUUCGAUUCCAUCAUCCCGAA
RNAcentral lists this transfer RNA (71 nucleotides) under bacterium. RNAcentral's name for it is "tRNA-Gln". It matches the Rfam family "tRNA". From Rfam's summary of the family: Transfer RNA (tRNA) molecules are approximately 80 nucleotides in length. Their secondary structure includes four short double-helical elements and three loops (D, anti-codon, and T loops). The record is from RNAcentral.